GAGCUGGAGCCGGGCCAGGAGCCCCGGCAAGACAAGGAGGAAUAUUCAUCUGAGACACGGUGGCAGGGCCCGGGAGUGCCCUGGAGCUGGGGGGCUGCCUGGAAUUCCCUGGAACUGGGGAUCUGCCUGAAUUCCCUGGAGUUGGGGAUCUGCCUGAAUUCCCUGGAGCUGGGGAUCUGCCUGAAUUCCCUGGAGCUGGGGAUCUGCCUGAAUUCCCUGGAUCUGCCUAAAUAUCGUGGAGUUGGGGGUCUGCCUGGAAUUCCCUGGAGUUGCCUAAAUAUCCUGGAGCUGGGGGUCUGUCGAAAUUCCCUGGAGCUGGGGGUCUGUCUGAAUUCCCCGGUGUCAGGGAUCUGCCUGAAUUCCCUGGAGUUGGGGGGGGUCUGCCUAAAUAUCCUGGAGUUGGGGGUCUGCCUGAAUUCCCUGGAUCUGCCUAAAUAUCCUGGAGCUGGGGGUCUGUCGAAAUUUCUUGGAUUUGGGGAUUGGCCUAAACUGGGAAUCUGCCUCAAACUUCCUGGAGUUGAGACCUGCCCAGAUUCUGGAUGUGGGAUCUGCCUGAAUUUCCUGGAAUUGGGGAUCCCCACAAGUUCCCCGGAGCUGGAGCUCUGCCGAAAUAUCCUGGAUUUGGGGAUGUGCUUAAAUUCCCUGGAGUUGGGGCUCUACCUAAAUAUCCUGGAUUUGGGGAUGUGCUUAAAUUUCUUGGAUUUGGGGGCUCUACCUGAAUUCCCUGGAUUUGGGAAUCUGCCAAAAUUUCUUGGAUUUGGGUGCUCUGCUUGAAUUCCCUGGAGUUGGGAUCUGCCUGAACCUCCUGGAUUUGGGAAUCUGCCGAAAUUUCUUGGAUUUUGGAAUCUGCUUGAAUUCUCCGGAGUUGGGAUCUGCCCAAAUAUCCUGGAUUUGGGGAUGUGCCUAAAUUCCCUGGAGUUGGGGGGGGUCCACCCAAAUAUCCCGGAUUUGGGGAUUUGCUUAAAUUUCUUGGAUCUGGGGGUUCUAUGUGAAUUCCCUGGAUUUGGGGAUCUCCCCAAAGCUGAGCUGCUUUCUUGGGGUUUUUUUCCCCCCGUUAAUUUACAGAGCCAAGCAGGGGAGGAAAAUCAUCCAGCGUGUGCCCAGGGGUGGGAAAACCCCAAAUCCCCCCCAGAAACACUAACCCC
Molecule: long non-coding RNA, 1145 nt
Filed under: Manacus vitellinus (golden-collared manakin)
Lineage: Eukaryota; Metazoa; Chordata; Aves; Passeriformes; Pipridae
Description: lncRNA (ENSMVIG00005016145.1)
Source: RNAcentral